UGCAAGUCGAGCGGGGACAUUCGACGGACCAGAAGUUUCGGAUGGAAGGGAGAUGAAUGUCUAGCGGCGGACGGGUGAGUAACGCGUGAGCAACCUGCCUUCACAGGGGGAUAACACAGCGAAAGUUGUACUAAUACCGUAUAAGACCACGCGGGGCAUCCCCGAAGGGGUCAAAGGAGCAAUCCGGUGAAGGGUGGGCUCGCGUCCGAUUAGAUAGUUGGUGAGGUAACGGCCCACCAAGUCGACGAUCGGUAGCCGACCUGAGAGGGUGAUCGGCCACAUUGGGACUGAGACACGGCCCAAACUCCUACGGGAGGCAGCAGUGGGGAAUAUUGGGCAAUGGGGGAAACCCUGACCCAGCAACGCCGCGUGAGGGAAGAAGGUUUUCGGAUCGUAAACCUCUGUCCUUGGUGAAGAGGAAGAGACGGUAGCCAAGGAGGAAGCCCCGGCUAACUACGUGCCAGCCGCGGC
RNAcentral lists this ribosomal RNA (471 nucleotides) under uncultured bacterium. RNAcentral's name for it is "bacterial SSU rRNA". It matches the Rfam family "Bacterial small subunit ribosomal RNA", at positions 56 to 518 of the family's 1533-position model. The record is from RNAcentral.